Molecule: long non-coding RNA, 1059 nt
Organism: Cynoglossus semilaevis (tongue sole)
Lineage: Eukaryota; Metazoa; Chordata; Actinopteri; Pleuronectiformes; Cynoglossidae
Exons: 2
Source: RefSeq, a predicted model, not a curated record
AGUGCUGUGUUUAAUGGCAGAGGUAUGUGCAUACUAAGGAUUUUUAUGACCAUAUAAGUACCAGACACCGUGUGGACGGCUGCUGAAUCACCCCGUGUCCCACCGUGUCCCCCCGUGUGUCAACAUGGUCUGGUCUGAGGUGAAAACAAGUAGCAGCGGCGCGAUAGCUCCGUUUCUCUGUUUCUGUUGGAAAGAGGCUAAAACAUUAGCUCUACGUUGAGGAAGAGUAUAAAAAACUUUACACUAUAAACAAUUUAAAUAGAUCAGCAGUUUUAAUUUAUUCGAAUAUUUACCACAGGGGGAAAGUAACUUGUAAUCAAUAAUUUCCUGUGUUUUUAAUAGGAUAUGUCAAGUAAAAUAAGAAGGGUAGUUCGUCCAUUUCUCUUCGUCCAAAUUUGAGAUCUUGCGAGGAGCUUUUAUUUAGAUCUGUGUGACUAUAUGUUUAAUUUUGUGUUAAGAAAUGUAUUAUUGUUGUUUAGCAUCUUCCCAGACGUACCAGUGUGUAAUUUUAAUGGUUACAAAUAGAAAAAAAAAUUACGAAUGGUAGUUUUAAUAUAUAAUUUUCUCGUUGGUUUCUGAUGACAUCAGUCAUGUUGUCCUAACAAUAUUUUCUCCUACCAAAGGUUUUGUAAAUGUCCUCUAACACAGACAUUCCAUUCCUGCCUGUGUAUGUUUUCUAAGAGCUCGUGGAUCCAAACCAAACUACGGUUGAUUACAAAUGGGAAGGUCUGUGUGUUUACCUUUACAAAACAACCUAAAACAAACUCUAGGAACUAGUGUGAAGUGGGUUUAGAUCGUCAGGAGUCGUUUUGGCCUCAUGCCAGCUGAGAUUGAGGGAGGUCAGAGGUCAGAGCACAGUGGAACCAUUAAGAGUUUCUGAGGACAUCGGCCUGUAGGACCUUGAACUGCUCAAAACAUGUGCAACAUCAGGAUUCAAAAAUAAACAUCCUGCUGGUUUCUUUUUCAGUCUGAUGAAUUCAAAUGUCUUCUAAUGUACUUUAAAAUAUUCAUCUGACUGUGUCCGUUCUCUGUGUUUAUACAAAUAAAGAGAAGAAAUUA